CAUUUGAAUAAUGCGCGAGCACUUUGGACCGGAGCCAAUCAGCUGUCAGAAGAGCAUGAUAAAUCGCAAUGCAUUAUUGAUAAUAAUAAUUACUUUGACAUGCGCAUUUCUACUCGAGGGGCUAAUUUCCCCCAACCUGGAGAAUUUCUAAAGGAGAGGGACUAAAUAGUCUUACUAUUCGCCCCUGAUGGUUGUAGGUUACCAUGUCGCGGCGCAAGCAGUCCAAACCACAGCAUAUCAAUUCGGACGACCCCGCUUCGACAGAAAAUGGGAUCUUGCACAAUAGUCAAAGUGAAGAGGAUGGCAGUGAUGCUAAGAGGCGACGAUCGGAGGAGACAAGGGUUUGCGAAAAAUGUUGCGCAGAGUUCUUCGAUGAGGCAGAGUUUCUUGAACAUGAGAGAAAUUGCACUAAAAGUCAGCAGGUAGUGAUCAUGAAAGAUGGCGAUGGGAGCGAGGUGCCCCCUGAGUUCUCGCAGCGUUCUCCGGGAGAUGUCUUGAGUGAUCCUUGUGAUCAGUCUACCAAUUCAUAUUCAAAGCACGGUGCAGAGUCAGAUGAAAUGAUGGAAGGAGAGUUCAUGUUGAACCAGGAUAACCCCUCAAAUCACGAUCAAGAGGUGUCUGGCAGUCCAGGGUACGUGGCAUCCAGCAAAUUGCAAGACUCUAAUGUGACACUCGAGUCCAUGGCUGCUACCAAAGUUGCUGUAACACAACACUCAUCCAAUUCGUCUAGUCAAAAAUCUCCACCCCCACAACCACACCAAGACACACUUCUUGCAAUCCCUAUGAUCCUGGAACAGCUGGUCAGUCUCCAGCAACAGCAACUGCAGCAGAUCCAGCUAACUGAGCAGAUACGCAUCCAAGUGGCCAUGAUGGCACCUCCGAGUCUGCAUGCAGCAGUGGGUGCUGUAAUGGAUCCACUCAAAGCGCUGGGUGCACAUUUAUCGCAGCAGCUCUCUGCUGCAGCCGCCCUCAUUGGCAAACGGACAGGCUCCCAGUCUUUGUCCUUGGAAGCAUUGAAACAAGCAAAACUACCUCAAUCCGCUACUAUCCCCACAUCCCUUCCUGGAGGUUUGGGAUCAAUUCCCUUAAAACCGGACUUGAAAGGACUCCCUGAUUUAGCCAGCCGACUUCCAGCGCUGCUUCCACAAUCUCCAGGGGUCAUAGGAUUACAGAGUCCCUUUAAUAACCUUGCAACAAGCAUGGACCCCUCCAAAAAGGCAAAAACUAAGGGCCCUGUAGUCUCGGAGCCUCCAAAAAAUGUCUCUGUUGAACACUCGUUCAAGCACAAAUGCAAGUUCUGUGGUAAAACAUUUGGAAAUGACAGCGCUCUACAAAUCCACUUGCGCUCGCACACUGGCGAAAGGCCCUUUAAAUGUAACAUCUGUGGAAACCGUUUCACAACUAAAGGAAACCUCAAAGUACAUUUUCAGAGACACAAAGAAAAAUAUCCACACAUCAAGAUGAAUCCACAUCCGGUACCUGAACACCUGGACAACAUGCCUUCAAACAAUGGUAUCCCUUAUGGCAUGUCUGUGCCCAUGGAGGAAAAUGGUUUUAGUGAAACCAAACCUGUUUUGGGAGUUCCCACAACAGGUCCCCCGGCAGGUCCCCAUCCGCCAGUGCUCCAGGCAUUCAAGCCCUCAUUUGAUAUUCCAGCUGCUGGAGACCCCUACUCCCAGAGACCUUCUUCAUCAGGCAGUGAUGGUGCAUCGAUUUCUUCUGGCAUGUUCGGUCAAGAUAUAGCAGGAUCGGAUCAAAGCAAAGAUUCCCCUGAUGCAAUGGUUGGAUUGCACCAUAUAAACGGUAACAGCCUAACUGGAGAAAAUGGCUCUGGUACCGCAAAGCUUCAGCAAAUGGUGGACUGCUUGGAGAAGAGGACAAAUGACCCCAAUGAAUGUGUUAUAUGCCACAGAGUGCUGAGCUGCCAAAGUUCCCUCAAAAUGCAUUACCGCACACACACUGGCGAGCGACCGUACAAAUGCAAAAUCUGUGGCAGGGCCUUCUCCACCAAAGGCAACCUUAAAGCUCAUUAUGGUGUUCACAGGGCCAACACUCCUCUGAAGAUGCAACACUCUUGCCCAAUUUGCCAUAAGAAGUUCACCAACGCAGUUGUUCUCCAGCAGCAUAUUCGUAUGCACAUGGGCGGCCAGAUUCCAAACACCCCACUUCCAGAAAAUCAGUUCGAAAGUCCUGAGGCACUGGAUUCUAGCAUGACCGAGGAUAAGACCAUUGACUCCAAUGGGCAUGAGGAGAGUAUGGAGGAACAAGACUUUGAAUUGGACAAUCAGGAGAAGCUGAACUAUUCUACAGAGCCCCAGCCUGUCACUAAAGACGAUCAGACAUUCCCAGGUCAACCAUCAAUGUUUACAGGCAUCACUGCCCUGGAGAACCACAUGAAGAACCUUACCUCUGCACUGAACCUGCAACGACAAAGCAGCACUGCUUCUGAGAGUGACAGUGGGCUGAAAGAUUCCCCUUUGGGGUCUGGAGAAGUGGACUACAAGAAUGACCGCAGUCCAGUUGUGUCCGAUUCGGUGUCCUUCCACUCUUUGUCCCCUAUAGAUGGUCCCCCGAGUAAUGGUCCGUCAAAAUCACCAGAAUCCACAAACCUAGAUGAUUCUGUUAAAUCCAGACCAGACACUGAUGCACCUCAAGAUUUUAGCGAAAACAAUGGAGCCCUGGACUUGACGUCAAGUUUUACUUCUAAACCAAUCAAAGAGGAGCCAGGCUUGUCCUUUGCCAGUGGUGAAUAUGGUUCUUCUCAAUUACCUUUCAUGAGGGUGCCUCCGAGUUUGGUCAAGCUGGAGAUGCAGAUUCCUCCGGAGACUCCUAUGGGUGCCCACGGCCUGUACAGCUCCCAGCUGCCUCAAGGUGCUGCCACUCCUCCUGCUUCUUCUAGUGCUCCUCGUAGGUCCACCAAGCAACAUCUCUGCAACAUGUGUGGGAAGAACUUUUCAUCUGCCAGUGCCCUGCAGAUACAUGAACGUACACACACCGGCGAGAAGCCGUUUGCUUGUUCAAUUUGUGGCAGGGCUUUUACGACAAAGGGAAACCUUAAGGUACAUGUUGGGACUCAUAUGUGGAAUAAUACAGCAAGGAGAGGUCAACGCCUGUCAUUGGAUAACCCAAUGGCUUUGAUGGCCAUGGGCAACGAGUCGAAGAUGAUGCCAGACAUGCUGCCGCCCCCAAAGGAUUUGAUUCCCCCACCCAUUAAUUUUGACCCAUCAAUGUGGAACCAGUAUGCUGCUGCUUUCACAAACGGGCUGACCAUGAAGACCAAUGAAAUUUCAGUCAUCCAAAAUGGUGGCAUCCCUCUCCCAGGAAGUCUGGGAGGUCCUUUAGUGGGCUCUACUGGGGGAAUAACCAAGAUGGAGUCAUCUCAGAUGGGCAUCCCUGGCACAGUUGCAGAAAUGGAAAAGAAUGGCUCUGAAAGCAUAGCAAAGUUUCCACAUUUCAUGGAGGAGGGUAAAGUGAAUUAAAAAGUGAAAAGACUUCCCAGUUGUUCCCAAACCAACGGUUCAUGUUGUGCUGAUUGGCUUACAAGCCUGUUGGAAUGUUAGGAACUGGACUAUUUAUUAAUUCGGUCCUUAGUUGGUACAAUCAAGUCAUACAUGUAACAUUGCUUUUAAGAACUUUUGCAAAUACCCUUGUUAAAUGAGCCUACACCCUAAAACGGGCUACGCCUUCCUCUUAGGACUCUUACAUGCUAGCAGUUGCUUCUAGUUGAAUCUGAUCUAACUACUGUAGUCCUUUUUCUUUCUCUCUAAUAUAUGCGGGUAUUUUGUCUGUUAUGUUUCUAGAAGUUGAAUGUAAGUCUUACUUGAAAUAGCUUUAUUCCAGAGCAGUCUCAUUAGUGAUCGGACACUCUUUUUGCGAGUUGCAUUGGGCUCCGCUCUAUGACCCUCAGGAGGAUCUCAGCCACAGGUCAUUAUUCGCAGUUACAUCUGUGGCAUUGAUGCCAGACAAAGGUAUUUGUGGAAUAUGUGCGUUGAAGAACGAAUCGACCGUUCCACACAAUCUACUGAAGGCUACGGUUUCAUUGAUGAACAUAGUGAGUAGUUCUAGUAUAGAUGUUUGUUUUGAAACUGGAUUUCAAUUUCACUAAGUUAUUAAGAGUUUUUCGACUGUCAAUAUAGUUUCUUUCUGCGCUUAAUACCAAAAAUUAUUUCGCUAAGUGCCUGUCUUGGAGUGCUUUUUUGUUUUAUUUUUUCUCUUGUUCUCCUUAAUUUUUCCUUGGCCUCGCCAAGGAUACCACAAGAUUGUAUCAAAGGCCUUUUUGGAUUUCAUAUUUUAUCAAGACCAAAAUAUGCUAUAUUUUUGCAUUUAGCUAUAGCUUUUUCAUUAAGUAAUUUGGGAGUUUCCAUGCUUUCAGUGGUCCAUUUCAAAUAUUAGAUUGUUGCUUUCAUUUAAGACCUUUGAUAGGAGUUCAAAAGGCCAGUUUAAUGCUGAAAUGCCUAAUCAUUCCUUGCACUUUAUUUUUCCUCAUUCUGCUAAGAUCUAGACCAGGCUCAUGCCAUUUGUUUUCUUUUAUGAACCUUUGUUUGACUCCUCAUUUGCUUGCUCUACAGUUUUAGGACCCACUGAGUUUUAGAAAUCUGUAAAUUUACCAUGCUUUUUAUAAUUAUGAGCUAAGCAGGCAUGUACAUCUGGUCCCAAAAGGAGUAAGUAGUCAUUCUUUUUCUGGGAAAAAGUCAUGGUUUACUACCCAAAUGUGUAUUGAUUGUUGUGGGAACAUGUUUUCGAGAUCGUAGCCAUGCGUUCUUUCUUUAGUAAGAGGAAUGAACUUUUUCUGUAUGCACGCAGAGUAUCUAAACCGUAAAACUUUACGCUGGUCAAAUUUCUACCUCAUUUAGAUGUCUGUCUUUUUUUUUUUUUUUUUUUUUUUUUUUUUUUUUUUUUUUUUUUUGGCAUUGUGUUUGGAGUUAUGGUUGCAUUUGUGCUCCUAUAACCUGCUGAUUUCUGUAAUAUAAUGAAUGUAUCGCCAGACACUUUGCACAACACUUGUUCAGAAUAGGCAGACUCCUCCUGUACAUUCUCUUUCAAAUAUGCAUUUACCAAGUUGUGCCUUUUUCCCUAGAUGUUAAAAAAAAAGGUGGUGUCAGAUCUUGGUUAAAUGGGGUCAUGUCUGUAUGAUUGUUCAAAUAUUGAGUCUGUUUUAGGCUUGUUUACAGUGUAGACUUUUUGUAAAUGUUGCUUUUUUGUUUGUUCCCCUUCCGUUCUGAUAUUUUGAGAAUAAAACCAAGGAUGACUUUUCCAAAACUU
Molecule: non-coding RNA, 5262 nt
Organism: Danio rerio (zebrafish)
Lineage: Eukaryota; Metazoa; Chordata; Actinopteri; Cypriniformes; Danionidae
Source: RefSeq, a predicted model, not a curated record